CUGGGCUUGACAUCCCGAUCGCACUUUAUGGAAACAUAGAGGUCAGUUCGGCUGGAUCGGAGACAGGUGCUGCAUGGCUGUCGUCAGCUCGUGUCGUAAGAUGUUGGGUUAAGUCCCGCAACGAGCGCAACCCUUGUCCUUAGUUGCCAUCAUUUGGUUGGGCACUCUAAGGAGACUGCCGGUGUUAAACCGGAGGAAGGUGGGGAUGACGUCAAGUCCUCAUGGCCCUUAUGUCCAGGGCUACACACGUGCUACAAUGGCCGGUACAAAGGGAAGCAAGACCGCGAGGUGGAGCCAAUCCCAAAAAGCCGGUCUCAGUUCAGAUUGGAGUCUGCAACUCGACUCCAUGAAGUUGGAAUCGCUAGUAAUCGUGGAUCAGCAUGCCACGGUGAAUACGUUCCC
This 402-nucleotide ribosomal RNA is filed under the name uncultured bacterium. RNAcentral describes it as "bacterial SSU rRNA". It matches the Rfam family "Bacterial small subunit ribosomal RNA", at positions 975 to 1375 of the family's 1533-position model. The record is from RNAcentral.